GUCUUCGUGGCUUAGGCGGGAGAACACCCGACUAUGGUGCUAGGUAUGGUAGAACUCGGGUUCGAGCCCCGGUGAAGGAACA
Non-coding RNA from Henosepilachna vigintioctopunctata, 82 nucleotides. Lineage: Eukaryota; Metazoa; Arthropoda; Insecta; Coleoptera; Coccinellidae. The record is from the annotation of a GenBank genome assembly.